AAGUCGUAACAAGGUUUCCGUAGGUGAACCUGCGGAAGGAUCCUUACCACGUAUCCAAACGUUAAAACCCCCCCCGUGACCCGCGAAGAACAGUUACAAUUCGAGCGGUAGUUCUAAAGGCCUUGUUUCCCCAAGCAGUCAGUGUCUGAAAUUGUCAGUGAUUGUGCAAGGAUAACGCUUCACGAUUCUUGUAGACCGCACCUCGCGGGCAGGAGCUAGGCCAAAGGGUCCCCAUGCCCCCUUACAACCCCACAGUUGAAUGUGAAGAACCAAAAAACUGUUAACAAUGGAUAUCUUGGUUCUC
This 304-nucleotide unclassified non-coding RNA is filed under the name fungal sp. Its description in RNAcentral is "partial internal transcribed spacer region". The stretch from base 1 to 46 matches the Rfam family "Eukaryotic small subunit ribosomal RNA", at positions 1786 to 1831 of the family's 1831-position model. The record is from RNAcentral. Lineage: Eukaryota; Fungi.